CAGCCCUCUUUCCUCGUUCUCAAAUUCUCAUAACACACACUAGCCUUUUUUUAAUUCUGAUUUCUUCAUUUUUUUUCUCCUACGAUUCUAACUAAUGUUUCAUUCUAAUUUCUUCAUCUUUCCUGCUAGGGUCUGGAUAGUUUGCCAAAAUGGUGACCGUACCUCAUUAUUUCUCUUUUCUCUUUCGCUUCUCCUCCAUAUGCACGUUUUUUACCAAUCGGGCACCGCCAUGGACGGAGCCUUGACGACGGAGAGGGUGGCGGUGCUAUCGUCGCCGAUGAGUUUGAGGUCUGUGACGCAGACGGUGAACGGAUCGCACAAGUUCGUGAUCCUAUACACUCACAAUUGUAUAUAUGAGGUUCACGGUUGGAGGGUACCACUGGGCUAUCUACUAUACACUGAAAAUUGGGUGACACUGAUAAAUGUAAUAUGAGGUGAGAGAGAUGACUUCAAUAUGGCAUACAGAUGAGCUUAGGAGUCAAAAACCCACCCCUGUUGAUGAAGCUAGAGCUGGUAAGCUGCUCAAGUAUUAUAUAUGUCAGCUCUUGCAUACUUUGGUUCACAUUAAAUGAAAUUAAUGAAAAUUUGGCAUAUAAGAAUUGCUUGUUUUAUUUAAUUCCCCAUUUCGAAGAAGUUUUUGGAUAGUGUUCGCUCUCUUGGAAGUCCUGAAGGUGUUCAUAUUAACGGUAAAAACGGUGCGUUGGAACCACUUUACACAAUGGAGCCUGGUAAGACUUAUAAAUACAGAAUCUGUAACAUUGGUCUUAAGGACUCACUUAACUUCAGGAUUCAAGGACACCCCAUGAAGCUUGUUGAGAUGGAAGGGUCCCAACUGCAGAUUCAGGUUGAUAUGCUAUCUCGGAUUAUCAUUAAGUCUAUGGGUCCACCCCUUUCUUCUCUAGAUUUAUUUCUCACAGAUUUAUUUUCAGCUUCUUGAUGCUGAUAUCUGUAGGGAUUGUGUUGUUUUGUGGUGAACUAAAUUGAUUGCUUUGUUUUGCUUACCCUCAUCUUUUAUAUAUCCAUGAACCUUAGUCAUCAAAGAUUUUCUUUUGGUUUUCUUCUGAAGGGCUUGACGAAGGUGCGUGAUGAACACAUGAUUUCUAUGUAUAUUACUCUAUUCUUAGCUUUUUCCUUCCAUUAUGACUUAAUUUCUUUGUAUGUUGUUGCCUCUCCUUUCUUCUUUUUAUGACAGCAUACAGGAAAGCCACUUCCAUUGAGAGCAAAUGCCCUUAGAAAGGCUAGUGUCUUUUGGUUUUUACUCCGCUGAUUAUGACUUCCAAUUCAAACCUACAUUGUGUACUUGGGAGGACAUUCUCAUGGUCCAGACCCUUCGUACAAGAGAGGCUUCUGAAACAUCAUGUUCUUUAUCUUCAUGUACUCAACCUGAGAUUGUAGCCACAGAAAGCUUCUGGUCUUUGCAUUUAUUAUUCUUGCUAGUCACGAGGCAUCAAGUAUGUUGUCUUAUGUAUUUUAGAAAUGUUGGAUAGGACUGUUGCUAUAAGGAAGUUCCAUCCAUAUAACAUACAAGUACCUCAGUUUUAUCAAGAGGUUCAAGUUCUUGGUUGUCUCCAGCACCCACAAACAAUUGGCCUUUUAAAGUGGAGAAAUGGGAGGUACAAAGAAGGGAUAUAUGGGCCAGAAGGUAAAUAUUGGUUUUGGAGUUAUAUUAUAAGUCAUCAAUAUAUGGGCCAGAACGUAAAUAUUUUGGUCUCUUGACAUGGUUUUCUCACAAGCAUUGCUUUGAGACUUAAUACAGCUAUAAUGAUGCUCGGCGGGUAUAAUAUCCAUUGUACAUGGGAGUCAAAAUAUUGAGAGAGAAUACAGCUGAUGAUGAUGAAACAGAGUGAUGAGUAGCAUAUACUUAUUAGUAUUGGAUAGUCAAUAUUUAUUUAUUUAUUUUUCACUUCAUUAUUAUUGUUUUUUUAACAUUUUUUAACAAGUUUUAUUCGUUGUAGGUCCACAUUAAUUUUUGCUUUGCUUAAAAUUCUU
This is a long non-coding RNA of Gastrolobium bilobum, 1989 nucleotides long. RefSeq lists it as uncharacterized. NCBI's taxonomy places the organism in Eukaryota, Viridiplantae, Streptophyta, Magnoliopsida, Fabales, Fabaceae. The record is from RefSeq and is a predicted model, not a curated record. The transcript is spliced from 7 exons.